Molecule: unclassified non-coding RNA, 224 nt
Filed under: plant metagenome
Description: partial contains small subunit ribosomal RNA, internal transcribed spacer 1, and 5.8S ribosomal RNA
Source: RNAcentral
UUUCCGAAGGUGAACCUGCGGAAGGAUCAUUAAAGAAUCGCCCCGUUUUUUAUAAAUGGGUUCUAUUCCCAAACCGUGUAUACAUACCUUUGUUGCUUUGGCAGGCCGCCUCCGGGCGUCGGCUCCGGCUGAUAGUGCCUGCCAGAGGACCCAAACUCUGUGUUUAGUGAUGUCUGAGUACUAUAUAAUAGUUAAAACUUUCAACAACGGAUCUCUUGGUUCUG